RNAcentral lists this ribosomal RNA (613 nucleotides) under uncultured bacterium. RNAcentral's name for it is "bacterial SSU rRNA". The stretch from base 1 to 525 matches the Rfam family "Bacterial small subunit ribosomal RNA", at positions 338 to 873 of the family's 1533-position model. The record is from RNAcentral.
CCUACGGGAGGCAGCAGUGGGGAAUAUUGCACAAUGGGCGCAAGCCUGAUGCAGCGACGCCGCGUGAGGGAUGACGGCCUUCGGGUUGUAAACCUCUUUCAGUAGGGAAGAAGCGAAAGUGACGGUACCUGCAGAAGAAGCGCCGGCUAACUACGUGCCAGCAGCCGCGGUAAUACGUAGGGCGCAAGCGUUAUCCGGAAUUAUUGGGCGUAAAGAGCUCGUAGGCGGUUUGUCGCGUCUGCCGUGAAAGUCCGGGGCUCAACUCCGGAUCUGCGGUGGGUACGGGCAGACUAGAGUGAUGUAGGGGAGACUGGAAUUCCUGGUGUAGCGGUGAAAUGCGCAGAUAUCAGGAGGAACACCGAUGGCGAAGGCAGGUCUCUGGGCAUUAACUGACGCUGAGGAGCGAAAGCAUGGGGAGCGAACAGGAUUAGAUACCCUGGUAGUCCAUGCCGUAAACGUUGGGCACUAGGUGUGGGGGACAUUCCACGUUUUCCGCGCCGUAGCUAACGCAUUAAGUGCCCCGCCGUGGGGAGGUACGGCCGCGACGACGUAAACUACAANAGAAGUAGACGGCGUGAGACGUGCCGACGGACGACCGACGAGGGAGGUUAGG